CUUCCGCCGGCGACCGGCGCACGGGUGAGUAACACGUAUGCAACCUGCCCCUGUCAGGGGGACAACCCGCCGAAAGGCGGGCUAAACCCGCGUACAUGCCACCGGGGCAUCCCGGAGGCAGGAAAGGCUUCGGCCGGACAGGGAUGGGCAUGCGGCGCAUUAGGCAGUAGGCGGGGUAACGGCCCACCUAACCGACGAUGCGUAAGGGUUCUGAGAGGAAGGUCCCCCACACUGGUACUGAGACACGGACCAGACUCCUACGGAAGGCAGCAG
This 273-nucleotide ribosomal RNA is filed under the name uncultured bacterium. RNAcentral's name for it is "partial 16S ribosomal RNA". It matches the Rfam family "Bacterial small subunit ribosomal RNA", at positions 82 to 354 of the family's 1533-position model. The record is from RNAcentral.